Molecule: ribosomal RNA, 558 nt
Filed under: Escherichia coli
Lineage: Bacteria; Pseudomonadati; Pseudomonadota; Gammaproteobacteria; Enterobacterales; Enterobacteriaceae
Description: partial 23S ribosomal RNA
Rfam family: Bacterial large subunit ribosomal RNA
Source: RNAcentral
GGGUUGUGAGGUUAAGCGACUAAGCGUACACGGUGGAUGCCCUGGCAGUCAGAGGCGAUGAAGGACGUGCUAAUCUGCGAUAAGCGUCGGUAAGGUGAUAUGAACCGUUAUAACCGGCGAUUUCCGAAUGGGGAAACCCAGUGUGAUUCGUCACACUAUCAUUAACUGAAUCCAUAGGUUAAUGAGGCGAACCGGGGGAACUGAAACAUCUAAGUACCCCGAGGAAAAGAAAUCAACCGAGAUUCCCCCAGUAGCGGCGAGCGAACGGGGAGCAGCCCAGAGUCUGAAUCAGUGUGUGUGUUAGUGGAAGCGUCUGGAAAGGCGUGCGAUACAGGGUGACAGCCCCGUACACAAAAAUGCACAUAUUGUGAGCUCGAUGAGUAGGGCGGGACACGUGGUAUCCUGUCUGAAUAUGGGGGGACCAUCCUCCAAGGCUAAAUACUCCUGACUGACCGAUAGUGAACCAGUACCGUGAGGGAAAGGCGAAAAGAACCCCGGCGAGGGGAGUGAAAAAGAACCUGAAACCGUGUACGUACAAGCAGUGGGAGCACGCUUAGG